This 694-nucleotide long non-coding RNA is filed under the name Homo sapiens (human). Its description in RNAcentral is "non-protein coding lnc-NBPF1-2:14". Lineage: Eukaryota; Metazoa; Chordata; Mammalia; Primates; Hominidae. The record is from RNAcentral.
CAAUAUAAAGUCCUGGUUCACUCUCAGGAACGAGAGCUGACCCAGUUAAGGGAGAAGUUACGGGAAGGGAGAGAUGCCUCCUGCUCAUUGAAUCAGCAUCUCCAGGCCCUCCUCACUCCGGAUGAGCCAGACAAGUCCCAGGGGCAGGACCUCCAAGAACAGCUGGCUGAGGGGUGUAGACUGGCACAGCACCUUGUCCAAAAGCUCAGCCCAGAAAAUGACAACGAUGACGAUGAAGAUGUUCAAGUUGAGGUGGCUGAGAAAGUGCAGAAAUCGUCUGCCCCCAGGGAGAUGCCGAAGGCUGAAGAAAAGGAAGUCCCUGAGGACUCACUGGAGGAAUGUGCCAUCACUUGUUCAAAUAGCCAUGGCCCUUAUGACUCCAACCAGCCACAUAGGAAAACCAAAAUCACAUUUGAGGAAGACAAAGUCGACUCAACUCUCAUUGGCUCAUCCUCUCAUGUUGAAUGGGAGGAUGCUGUACACAUUAUCCCAGAAAAUGAAAGUGAUGAUGAGGAAGAGGAAGAAAAAGGGCCAGUGUCUCCCAGGAAUCUGCAGGAGUCUGAAGAGGAGGAAGUCCCCCAGGAGUCCUGGGAUGAAGGUUAUUCGACUCUCUCAAUUCCUCCUGAAAUGUUGGCCUCGUACAAGUCUUACAGCGGCACAUUUCACUCAUUAGAGGAACAGCAAGUCUGCAUGG